RNAcentral lists this unclassified non-coding RNA (253 nucleotides) under uncultured Sphingomonadaceae bacterium. RNAcentral's name for it is "contains 16S-23S intergenic spacer region". It matches the Rfam family "Bacterial small subunit ribosomal RNA", at positions 524 to 776 of the family's 1533-position model. The record is from RNAcentral. Lineage: Bacteria; Pseudomonadati; Pseudomonadota; Alphaproteobacteria; Sphingomonadales; Sphingomonadaceae.
UACGGAGGGAGCUAGCGUUGUUCGGAAUCACUGGGCGUAAAGCGCACGUAGGCGGCCUUUCAAGUCAGGGGUGAAAUCCCGGGGCUCAACCCCGGAACUGCCCUUGAAACUGGAUCGCUUGAAUCUUGGAGAGGCGAGUGGAAUUCCGAGUGUGGAGGUGAAAUUCGUAGAUAUUCGGAAGAACACCAGUGGCGAAGGCGGCUCGCUGGACAAGUAUUGACGCUGAGGUGCGAAAGCGUGGGGAGCAAACAGG